RNAcentral lists this ribosomal RNA (377 nucleotides) under uncultured bacterium. Its description in RNAcentral is "bacterial SSU rRNA". It matches the Rfam family "Bacterial small subunit ribosomal RNA", at positions 28 to 409 of the family's 1533-position model. The record is from RNAcentral.
GACGAACGCUGGCGGCGUGCCUAACACAUGCAAGUCGAACGGAGUUCCUUCGGGGACUUAGUGGCGAACGGGUGAGUAACGCGUGAAGAACCUGCCUUUCAGUGGGGGACAACAGUUGGAAACGACUGCUAAUACCGCAUAACAUAUAUUGUGGGCAUCCACGAUAUAUCAAAGGAGCAAUCCGCUGAAAGAUGGGCUCGCGGCCGAUUAGCUAGAUGGCGGGGUAACGGCCCACCAUGGCGACGAUCAGUAGCCGGUCUGAGAGGAUGAACGGCCACAUUGGGACUGAGAUACGGCCCAGACUCCUACGGAGGCAGCAGUGGGGAAUAUUAGGCAAUGGGGGGCAACCCUGGACCUAGCAACGCCGCGUGAAGGAA